CCUGCUGGCCGGCGGCCUGCUGCCCGCCCUGCUGGGCUGUCUGGAGGAGGAGUGCGUGGAGACGGUGACGUACGGCUUGACGACGCUGCUGCUUCUCCCGGUCACCGACGCCGACCUCUGGUCGCAGGUGGACGGCGUGCGCCUGACCCGACUGACUGCCGAGCUCUGCCGCUCCCCGGACCAGCGGCUACUGAACCUGGCCACCCUGCUGCACCACCAGCUGCCGAGCUCUGCCGCUCCCCCGACCAGCGGCUACUGAACCUGGCCAUCCUGCUGCACCACCAGCUGCCCAGCUGUGCCGCUCCCCCAACCAGCGGCUGCUGAACUUGGCCACCCUGCUGCACCACCAGCUGCCGAGCUCUGCCGCUCCCCCAACCAGCGGCUGCUGAACUUGGCCACCCUGCUGCACCACCAGCUGCCAAGCUCUGCCGCUCCCCCGACCAGCGGCUGCUGAA
Molecule: long non-coding RNA, 455 nt
Organism: Pollicipes pollicipes
Lineage: Eukaryota; Metazoa; Arthropoda; Thecostraca; Pollicipedomorpha; Pollicipedidae
Exons: 3
Source: RefSeq, a predicted model, not a curated record